GUGGUUGUAGGUUAGUGGUAUAACACUUGCCUCUCAAGUGUGAGGCCCUGGGUUCAACCUUCAGCACCACA
RNAcentral lists this transfer RNA (71 nucleotides) under Marmota monax (woodchuck). RNAcentral describes it as "tRNA.Glu". Lineage: Eukaryota; Metazoa; Chordata; Mammalia; Rodentia; Sciuridae. The record is from RNAcentral.